This is a non-coding RNA of Anoxybacillus flavithermus, 287 nucleotides long. Lineage: Bacteria; Bacillati; Bacillota; Bacilli; Caryophanales; Anoxybacillaceae. The record is from Rfam.
CCGUUUCGAUUUGUUGCGGGCAAAUAAAAUGAAUAUGGGCGUCAAUUCCCCCUGCGGUGACAAUUUUUCCUUCCGCUGCAAUAACUUCCGUCGCUGCUCCGAUCGUAAUAUUCACCCCGUCCAUCAACAACGGAUUACCCGCUUUCCCAAUCGCCGCAAUCUUCCCAUCUUUGAUGCCGAUAUCGGCUUUAUAAAUUCCCGUAUAGUCAACAAUGAUCGCAUUUGUCAGCACUAAAUCCAUCGAUUCCGAACGUGUGGCAAGCGGAUGCUGUCCCAUUCCGUCACGA